This 723-nucleotide ribosomal RNA is filed under the name uncultured bacterium. Its description in RNAcentral is "bacterial SSU rRNA". It matches the Rfam family "Bacterial small subunit ribosomal RNA", at positions 53 to 754 of the family's 1533-position model. The record is from RNAcentral.
GCAUGAAACCUCGAGCGAGAUUUUAAGAACUAGCUUGCUAGUUCUUAAAUGACAGCGGCCCCACGGGUGAGUAACGCGUGGGCAAUCUGCCCUGUGGAAAGGGAUAGCCUCGGGAAACCGGGAUUAAUACCUUAUAAUAUUAGCACUUCCCAUGAAGAGCUAAUCAAAGAUUUAUCGCCACAGGAUGAGCCCGCGUCUGAUUAGCUAGUUGGUGAGGUAAUGGCUCACCAAGGCAACGAUCAGUAGCAGGUUUGAGAGGAUGACCUGCCACACUGGGACUGGAACACGGCCCAGACUCCUACGGGAGGCAGCAGUGGGGAAUAUUGCGCAAUGGGCGAAAGCCUGACGCAGCGACGCCGCGUGGAGGAUGAAGGCCUUCGGGUCGUAAACUCCUGUCAAGAGGGAAGAACCGUAUGCGGAAUAAUACGCCGCAUGCCUGACGGUACCUCUAGAGGAAGCACCGGCUAACUCCGUGCCAGCAGCCGCGGUAAUACGGAGGGUGCAAGCGUUAAUCGGAAUCACUGGGCGUAAAGCGCGCGUAGGCGGCUUGGUAAGUCAGGUGUGAAAGCCCCCGGCCCAACCGGGGAAUUGCACUUGAUACUGCUAGGCUAGAGUUCAGGAGAGGGUGGCGGGAAUUCCAGGUGUAGGAGUGAAAUCCGUAGAUAUCUGGAGGAACACCGGUGGCGAAGGCGGCCACCUGGACUGACACUGACGCUGAGGUGC